AAUAGAUACCCUGGUAGUCCACGCCGUAAACGAUGAGUGCUAAGUGUUAGAGGGUUUCCGCCCUUUAGUGCUGCAGCAAAACGCAUUAAGCACUCCGCCUGGGGAGUACGGCCGCAAGGCUGAAACUCAAAGGAAUUGACGGGGGCCCGCACAAGCGGUGGAGCAUGUGGUUUAAUUCGAAGCAACGCGAAGAACCUUACCAGGUCUUGACAUCUCCUGACAACCCUAGAGAUAGGGGCGUUCCCCUUCGGGGGGACAGGAUGACAGGUGGUGCAUGGUUGUCGUCAGCUCGUGUCGUGAGAUGUUGGGUUAAGUCCCGCAACGGGCGCAACCCUUGAUCUUAGUUGCCAGCAUUCAGUUGGGCACGUCUAAGGUGACUGCCGGUGACAAACCGGAGGAAGGUGGGGAUGACGUCAAAUCAUCAUGCCCCUUAUGACCUGGGCUACACACGUGCUACAAUGGAUGGUACAAAGGGCUGCGAGACCGCGAGGUUAAGCGAAUCCCAUAAAAACCAUUCUCAGUUCGGAUUGCAGGCUGC
Molecule: ribosomal RNA, 538 nt
Filed under: uncultured bacterium
Lineage: Bacteria
Description: bacterial SSU rRNA
Rfam family: Bacterial small subunit ribosomal RNA
Source: RNAcentral